AGUUAAUCAGGGCAAUUUUUCCAUAAAUAGACAGGUAUUUACCUCUCCAUGGUUGCAGGAUCUUGUCUAUUUUUACAAGUUUUCUACUGAAAUUCAUUGUGGAGAGCUUAUAUCUUUUGUGAUAUGAAUACCGAGUAUGUCUACUUCACCAUCAGCCCAUUUUAUAGGUAAGCUGCAGGGUAAUGUAAAAGUUGUAUUUUUUAAGGAUCCAAUACAUAAUAUUGUAAACUUAUCAUAAUUAGUUUUUAGUCCAGAGAGUACAGGAAAGUUACCUAGAUCUUCAAUGAGACAUUGCAGGGAUCUAGAUUGUGGACUUGAGUCAUCGGCAUACAUGGACACCUUUGUUUUCAAGCCUUGGAUUUCUAAUCCUCUAAUGUUGUUAUUGGAUCUGAUUUUAAUAGUUAGCAUUUCGAUGGCCAUAAUGAAUAGAUAUGGUGUGUUUAACGCCUCUUGACUAUUCAAAACUCUGAGAAGUAGCCGUUAUUUACUAUUUUACACCUGGGGUUGUUAUACAUUAUUUUUACCCAUUUUAUUAGUGAAUUACCGAAAUUGAAAAAAUCCAGGCAUUUAUAAAUAAAAUCCAGUCUUACUUUUUCAAAUGCCUUUUCAAAAUCUGCUAUAAAUACCAUUCCUGGCUUCUUAUGUUUCAUGAUGUUCUAUUAUUUGUAGUUGUCGUAUAUUAUCUCCAGUGUAUCGUCCAUGUAAAAAACCUGUCUGAUCAGGAUGAACAAUACCUGGUAAAACCCUUUUAAUUCUCAGUGCUAUGCAUUUUGCUAGUAUUUUUGCAUCACAACAUUGAAGUGUAAGUGGCCUCCAGUUUUUUAGAUAGACUGGGUCUUUAUAUUUGCCAUCUGGGUCUUGUUUUAAUAAUAGAGAAAUCAGACCUUCCUGCUGAGUACCUGACAGACUACCAUUUCUAUAGGAGUAGUUAAAAUAAUCUAACAAUGGAGCUUUUAGUAUAUCAAAAAAUACUUGACAUAUCUCUACCGGUAUGCCAUCAAGCCCUGGGGUUUUUCCAGACUGAAAGGAUUUAAUAUCCUCAAAGUUCUUCCUCUGUAAUUUGGCCUUCACACUGACCUUUCUGUACAUUUGUUCAAUUUUCAAUUUUUUUAAUUAUUUGGAAAGAAUUCCUUACCGUAAUCUUCAUUCAGUGGGAGAGGAUGAGACGGAAAAGAGAACAUCUGCCUAAAAUAAUUAGCUUCCUCUUAAAAUAUAAUUUGGAGAAUCAUAGAUGACUCCGUUUUCAGUAACGAGAUUCUGCAAAUUAUUUUUGUUAGCGUUCCUGUAUUGGAGAUUCAGAAAGAAUUUGGUGCAUUUUUCUUCAUAUUCCAUCCAGUUUGCUUUAUUUUUGUAAUAGAUUACAUUAGAUCGUUCUUGAAUAAGUUCCUCAAGUUCUUUUUGUUUUUCCUCUAACUUAUUUUAUAUCUCUAGUAUUAUUUUUAUUGCCAUCUACCUGUACUUUUAGUUCAUGGAUUUCCCUUGUUAGUCUUUUCUCUUUAGCCAGAAAAUGCUUUUUUUUUUAUUGAUGAAUAUUGAAUUGAAUGACCCCUGAAGGUACAUUUAAAAGGUAUACCAAACAAUAAGGGGAUUUGCUGAACCUAUAUUAUACUGGAAAAAUUCAGUUACAAAUUAUUUUGUCUUAUUUUUAACUAAGUUGUCCUCCAGUAAAUUUUGAUUAAAUUUCCAAUAUCCCCAUCCACGUGGAAAAUCUAUAAGAGUUAUGUGAAUGCCAAUUAGAUGAUGAUCCGAUCGCAUUCUGUCUCCUACUAAAACUUUUUUAACCUUUGAUGCAAGAGAGAAAGAGACAAGAAAGUAGUCAAGACGACUAGCUUGAUUAAGUCUCCUCCAUGUAUAUCUCACUAGGUCUGGGUUUUUUAGUCUCCAAAUAUCCACUAUUUCUAAUGUGUCCAUAAUAUUUGUGAUUUCCUUAAGGGCACGGUGAUGAUAGUUUGUAGAGUGAUUACCUUUACGGUCCAUUGAGGUACUUAACACUGUGUUAUAGUCUCCUACCAUAAUGAUUAGAUCAUUUGUUGCCUGUAAGUUCAAUAAAUUGGUAUAAAUGUUUUCGAAGAAGUGUGGAUCAUCCUGAUUUGGACCAUAUAGAUUAAUGAGCCAAAUCAAUUUUUGGUCCGCUUUCAUAUUCAAAAGGAUCCACCUUCCUUGCGAAUCAUUCCUGACUAUUUGCACAUUCAGAUCGACACUUUUUUGUUAAUAUCAUCACACCCUUUGAGUUCCUUUGUCCAUGACAGAAAAUUAUUUCACCACCCCAUUUCUUUUUCCACGCAACUUCAUCUAAGGAUGUAGAGUGAGUUUCCUGUAAACAGUAUAUGUUAUAUUCCUUUUCUUUUAGCCAUGUAAAGACUGAUUUUUUAAAAAUAAUCUGCUAAAUCUUUACAAUUAUAACUGGCUAUACUUCACCCCUUACUAUAACAAGAUACUAUUCUCAGUCUAAAUUGACCAAAAUUAGUGCUUGUUAAGUUACUGCCAUCAGAGGUAUUAUGAAGGUCAAAGCUAGAGCUUUCAAAUGUCUGAUAUUUAGAAUUCAAGAAAUAGGUUCUAGCAAUAUUUGUUUUAUUCCCUUGCCUGUUUGCCUGUGAGCCAAUGCCACAGAUGUUAGAAAAUUGAGACAAGAUAUUAUGUGUGUAGUAAAUCUGAGUAGGUUGAUGUGUGUGAUAUUGGAUGUGAUUUAGUGAGAGUGUGUAUGGUGUCUGUAUAAGAGUAAGACUAUAAUGUGUGAUGUCCAAAUAAUAAUAACUGCCAAUUUGGAUGGCUGAGUGUCUAUGUGUGUAACAUGUAGCGUGUAUAGCCUUAAUAUUCAUGAUGAUAAUUGUAAUCCAUGUCGUAUCACCAUCAUAGUUGCAUCAUAAUUACCUUUAACAUAAUUGAAAAACACAUCCCAGCAUUUCCAUAGCAACAUGAUAAUGAAAGAGAUCUUGCAUUACUCUAGAGACGGCUUCACUACAGUACAAAUGUAUUCCAUACAAUAUGUUAUUAUUCCCCAAUGCCCCUAUUCUGAUAUCUUCCCCUUGCUUGUUGUAAACAUAUAUAAACUUGUAGACAAAUACAUAAAGAUAGACAAACAAACAUGAAUUAUAAAACAGUUUGACAAUAUAGAGAGAGGUAGAGAAAAGAGAGGAGAGAGUGAGAGAAGAGCGAGAUCAGGUGUGUGUGUGUGUGUGUGUGUGUGUGUGUGUGUGUGUGUGUAUGUAUGUAUAAGUCCGUAUGUGUAAGCAAGCAUGUAAUUGAGUACGUGUGUGUUCAUAUCCACUUCAUAAUGUUCAGAUAUUUUUACAGUUCCCAUAGCUUCUUUUUUUCGUAACCUGAAGUCCCUGUAGAAUUUAGUACAGCCACGGUGUUAUGGAGCUGUCUCGGAAUAGCUGUCCAUCUAUAAAGAGUUUGUCCACAAUGAUAAAGGCACACCUACCAUCCUUCCUUUGUUGUCUUUGUACUGGAUAGUCUCUUACAACGGCCGUUUAUCUCCCUUGGAAACUGGUCAUUGAGACCGAAUUUGGUCCCUUUCAGCUCCCUUCCCCUGCUUUUGAUCAGCUCCUUUUGUUGGUAGUGUUCAGAUUUUGUGAUGAUCGGUCGGGGACCCUUGGUCUUGUCGCCCCAAGUCUGUGUACUCGGUGGAAAGCCACCUUGUUUACAGUCUCUAGAGGAAGUUUCAAGGCGGAUUGCAUGAAUUCUCUGAUCGCACCCUCCGGAUUAUUGGAUGUGUCGUCAGGAAUCCCAGGAAAAAUAGAUUUUCACGCAUGCUACGACUUUGUAUGUCUAGUAGCGACUCCUUCAUCACCCUGUUUUCCCUGAGUAGACAAUCCAUGUUGGAAUCGUGGAUUUUUACCUUGGCUGUGAGUGUCUUGUUUCCUCUUUGGAGCGUGAGAAUUUCACUCUGGCUGAACUCCAAACUCCCCCUCAGCCCUGCUACCUCCUCACACAACUUUUCCAGUGUUGCAUGGAUUCCAGCCAGAGCACUAGCCACUACCUCAAUGGUUGAUGGUUUGGGGUGCAACAAGGGAGUCCCUCUCUGAGUGAGAGCUGGGGUGUCUGCCCCUCCUCCCUGAGUGGAACGUCCUGCCUCCCUUCCACUGGUGCUGUGGGUCGCUUCACUCAGACCCUCCUGGAAAGAGAGAAGAGGAGAGUUCAAACUGACCACUUGGUCUUUGCUUUGUAGCAUCAUUAAUGAAAAUAUCUUGUGUGUUGUGUGGGCUCCUGAGUUGCGUAGCGGUCUAAGGCACUGCAUCUCAGUGCCAGAAGCGUCACUACAGACCUGGUUCGUUUCCAGGCUGUAUCACAACCGGCCGUGAUUAGGAGUCCCAUAGGGCGGCGCACAAUUGGCCCAGCGUCGUUCGGGUUAGGGCUUGGCCGUCAUUGUAAAUAAGAAUUUUUUGUUCUUAAUGUUCUUAACUGACUUACCUAGUUAAAUAAAAGGUAAAAUAAAAAUUUCUGAUCAAUUUGAUGUUAUUUUAAAUGGACA
This 4474-nucleotide long non-coding RNA is filed under the name Salmo salar (Atlantic salmon). RNAcentral's name for it is "lncRNA (ENSSSAG00000105781.1)". The record is from RNAcentral. Lineage: Eukaryota; Metazoa; Chordata; Actinopteri; Salmoniformes; Salmonidae.